GGCCAGACUCCUACGGGAGGCAGCAGUGGGGAAUAUUGGGCAAUGGAGGCAACUCUUACCCAGCAAUGCCGCGUGAAUGAAGAAGGUCUUCGGAUUGUAAAGUUCUUUAAUUGGGGACGAAAAAAAUGACGGUACCCAAGGAAUAAGCCCCGGCUAACUACGUGCCAGCAGCCGCGGUAAUACGUAGGGGGCAAGCGUUGUUCGGAAUUACUGGGUGUAAAGGGAGCGUAGGCGGGAAAGCAAGUUGAAUGUUUAAGGUACGGGCUCAACCUGUACAAGCGUUCAAAACUGUUUUUCUUGAGUGGAGUAGAGGUAAGCGGAAUUCCUAGUGUAGCGGUGAAAUGCGUAAAUAUUAGGAGGAACACCAGUGGCGAAGGCGGCUUACUGGGCUUUAACUGACGCUGAGGCUCGAAAGCGUGGGUAGCAAACAGGAUUAGAUACCCCAGUAC
Molecule: ribosomal RNA, 449 nt
Filed under: uncultured bacterium
Lineage: Bacteria
Description: partial 16S ribosomal RNA
Rfam family: Bacterial small subunit ribosomal RNA
Source: RNAcentral